Molecule: unclassified non-coding RNA, 213 nt
Filed under: plant metagenome
Description: partial contains small subunit ribosomal RNA, internal transcribed spacer 1, and 5.8S ribosomal RNA
Source: RNAcentral
UCUCCGUAGGUGAACCUGCGGAGGGAUCACUACAGGCUUCCAAAGGGUCUGAAACCAAUGUUUAUCUACCUGAAUCUGCUUAUGCAGGCGGCCCCAGGCCGUGACCGUAUACCCAAGGCGCCCGCCGAAGAUCCCUAAACUCUGUUAUCUUGAGAAUCUCUGAGUAAUUAUAUGAAACAAAAACAACUUUCAACAACGGAUCUCUUGGCUCUG